GCAAAAGUGUUAAGUGCCCGCCUUGGGGAGUACGGUCGCAAAGGCUAAAACUCAAAGGAAUUGACGGGGGCUCACACAAGCGGUGGAGCAUGUGGCUUAAUUCGAAGCAACGCGAAGAACCUUAUCCUGGGUUUGACAUGCAAGGAUUAGCCCGGUGAAAGCCGGGUGACACCCUCGGGUGGAACUUGCACAGGUGCUGCAUGGCUGUCGUCAGCUCGUGCCGUGAGGUGUUAGGUUAAGUCCUUUAACGAGCGAAACCCCUGUCGCUAGUUGCCAGCGCGUAAUGGCGGGGACUCUAGCGAGACUGCCGGCGUCAAGUCGGAGGAAGGUGGGGACGACGUCAAGUCCGCAUGGCCUUUAUGCCCAGGGCUGCACACGUGCUACAAUGGCCGGUACAGAGCGACGCAAUGCCGCGAGGUGGAGCAAAUCGCGAAAACCGGCCCCAGUUCAGAUUGCAGGCUGCAAUUCGCCUGCAUGAAGUCGGAAUCGCUAGUAAUCGCGGAUCAGCACGCCGCGGUGAAUACGUUCCUGAGCCUUGUACACACCGCCCGUCAAGUCAUGGAAGCUGGCAGCACCUUAAGUCGCCGCGAUUCAGCGGUGCCCACGGUGAGGCUGGUGACUGGGACUAAGUCGUAACAAGGUAACCGUA
This 649-nucleotide ribosomal RNA is filed under the name uncultured bacterium. Its description in RNAcentral is "bacterial SSU rRNA". It matches the Rfam family "Bacterial small subunit ribosomal RNA", at positions 851 to 1504 of the family's 1533-position model. The record is from RNAcentral.